AAUAUUGCACAAUGGAGGAAACUCUGAUGCAGCGACGUCGCGUGAGUGAUGAAGGUCUUCGGAUCGUAAAACUCUGUCCUAAGGGACGAUAAUGACGGUACCUUAGGAGGAAGCCCCGGCUAACUACGUGCCAGCAGCCGCGGUAAUACGUAGGGGGCGAGCGUUGUCCGGAUUUAUUGGGCGUAAAGGGUGCGUAGGCGGCCUUGUAAGUCAGAUGUGAAAGAUCAUGGCUUAACUGUGGUAAGCAUUUGAAACUGCAGGGCUUGAGUACAGGAGAGGAGAGUGGAAUUCCUAGUGUAGCGGUGAAAUGCGUAGAUAUUAGGAGGAAUACCAGUGGCGAAGGCGACUCUCUGGACUGAUACUGACGCUGAGGCACGAAAGCGUGGGGAGCAAACAG
Molecule: ribosomal RNA, 397 nt
Filed under: uncultured bacterium
Lineage: Bacteria
Description: partial 16S ribosomal RNA
Rfam family: Bacterial small subunit ribosomal RNA
Source: RNAcentral